UCAUAGGUUUAUAUAUAAUGCAUCAAAACAAUUUUUAGAAUCAAGAACAAAGUGAAGGUUAGUCUUGUACCUCUUGAUCUAGACUUAAGACCAAGGAUGGACCACCUCCAAGGCCUUUGCUCCUUGAAAUCCUUGAGCCUAGCUUCCCUCAUUGCCUCCUCCACUUUGUUACAAUGAGUGCUCCUAGGUUCUCUUCAAGUUCCCAAAGUAGGAAACCUCUAAAGAUCCUCACCCACUAGUGUAGUGAGAAGGAUGAAGGAAUAACCAAAAAGGUGUAAGAGAUGUUAGUAAAAACCCCCCUUUGGUGGCCGGCCUUUGUGGUUCAAGAUGGCUAUUUUCUUUUGCCUCUUUUGUUGUUCAAAACUCACAAAAACCCUAAUGAACAAUAUCUUAUAAAGUUGCUUAUAUAGACAAAAAGAAAACCUAGUCAACACUUGACUAAAUAUCUCUCCAAAACCCACAUAAUAUGGCCGGCCCUCUUGUGUUGUUUUUGGGCUUUGGGCUUUUAUUAUUUCAAGUCAUCCAAUGCUUGAAUGAAAGCCCAAUGGGUUUAGGCCCAAUGGGCCUAAUUAAACCCGAACGUUUCUUUAAGCCCAAAACGAUGUUUAUCGCUUUUAUGAUUUCUUUAGACUUUUCUAAAUUAAUCACAACACAUAAUUAAUCUAAUUAAUUGUUUCCAUCAUCCAUUAGUUACUCACUACAAUAGUGUUGUGGUGAACAAUCUUUUAGGUUCUAAUUA
Molecule: long non-coding RNA, 739 nt
Filed under: Malus domestica (apple)
Lineage: Eukaryota; Viridiplantae; Streptophyta; Magnoliopsida; Rosales; Rosaceae
Description: long non-coding RNA (MDOM_LNC009298)
Source: RNAcentral